CUAUGCGCCUUGCCAGCCCGCUCAGUCAGAGUUUGAUCCUGGCUCAGGAUGAACGCUAGCGGCAGGCCUAAUACAUGCAAGUCGAACGGGGUCCUUCGGGGCCCAGUGGCGCACGGGUGCGUAACGCGUAUGCAACCUACCUUCAACUGGGGGAUAGCCCGGAGAAAUCCGGAUUAAUACCGCAUAACACGACUUGAUGGCAUCUGAGGGUCGUUAAAGAUUUAUCGGUUGGAGAUGGGCAUGCGUGCCAUUAGCUAGUUGGUGGUGUAACGGACCACCAAGGCUACGAUGGCUAGGGGUCUGAGAGGAUGGUCCCCCACACUGGCACUGAGAUACGGGCCAG
Molecule: ribosomal RNA, 343 nt
Filed under: uncultured bacterium
Lineage: Bacteria
Description: bacterial SSU rRNA
Rfam family: Bacterial small subunit ribosomal RNA
Source: RNAcentral